UUUCCGUAGGUGAACCUGCGGAAGGAUCAUUAUUGUAUAACCAACGUGCGAGUGCUGUUGCUGACCCGAAAGUUCGUUCACGCCCGAGUGCCCUCACACAGAUCCAUCUCACCCCUAUGUGCACCACCGCGUGGGACCCCCUUUGGCUUGUUCGGCGGGGGGCUUACGUUGUCACACAAACUUUGUAUGCAGUGUAGAAUGCAUUUUUUGUUUUUGCGAUCAUGCAAUAAAUACAACUUUCAACAACGGAUCUCUUGGCUCUC
Molecule: unclassified non-coding RNA, 263 nt
Filed under: plant metagenome
Description: partial contains small subunit ribosomal RNA, internal transcribed spacer 1, and 5.8S ribosomal RNA
Source: RNAcentral